RNAcentral lists this ribosomal RNA (253 nucleotides) under uncultured bacterium. RNAcentral's name for it is "partial 16S ribosomal RNA". It matches the Rfam family "Bacterial small subunit ribosomal RNA", at positions 524 to 776 of the family's 1533-position model. The record is from RNAcentral.
UACGUAGGUGGCAAGCGUUGUCCGGAUUUACUGGGCGUAAAGAGCGCGCAGGCGGUCGUUCAAGUCGCGUGUGAAAGCCCCCGGCUCAACUGGGGAGGGUCACGCGAUACUGAUCGACUCGAAGGCAGGAGAGGGAAGCGGAAUUCCCGGUGUAGUGGUGAAAUGCGUAGAUAUCGGGAGGAACACCAGUGGCGAAGGCGGCUUCCUGGCCUGUUCUUGACGCUGAGGCGCGAAAGCUAGGGGAGCAAACGGG